UCUGGGAUGGUCUAGGUUUACUUUGCCCUGCCCUGCCUCAGUGCAGUGGUAGAGGUCCUUUCCAGCCCUACAUUGUUAUGAGUCAAAAGUAAAGAAAUAGGACUGGAAACCAAUGUCCAAGUAAUUAUUUGUUCCCUUCUUUUGCAGAGACCUGAACAUCAAGCAAAGAUGCUUCAAGUUGGAACUAUCCUUUGUUUCCAAGGACUGCAUCCGAUGAAGUGAGCUGUAGCUCACGAAAGCUUAUGCUCAAAUAAAUUGCACAGGAACUGUCUCUGCCUGGAUUCAGUUGAGUUCUGAAAUUUUCUCUCGCAGAUUUGGGAGUUUUCAAAAAGUUAAGUUUGUUUGCUUCAAAGUGUGUAAUAAAGACCACCAUGACCAUAGAAGUUUAGAUUAGUGCCCCAUUAGCCUACAUCAGGCCAAACCACUACCUCCAAAAUUGCUAGAUGCCAUUUUCUGUGGGGCAGGCCAACUUCUGGGCACAGAACACAGAAACUUACUUUGAUUAGCCCCCCCCCGGUUAUCUUUUCAAUAUGGCAUUACCAGUUGGAUCCAUCCUGAUCUGUUGACGUUAUUUGGCUGAUAAGUGUUCCCAGUGCCAAUGUAAGGUAAGCCCAUCUUGUUUGGCUCAUGCCCCAUUCACUACCUGUAAUUACUGCUGUUGGGAAGGAUGGAUGAAGAGGGAUGUAUCACAAUGGAAGAUUACUCAUUGGUAAUGAUUGUCUCAUAGUCCUCAUCCAUCCUCCACUUCAGGCUUGUGGCUUGACAUUUGUUCUCUUAUCUAUUAUUCUGUAUUUGAAUGGACAGAUCAGUGUUUAUAUGGUAAACGUUUAUUUGCCUCUUUGCUUCUGAUCAAUGAAGCCACACUGCUGGAAGAAGAGAGGACUCUGGCAAACAAAAUUAUUGGUGAGUAAUUUUCCCUUAGUAAUCUUUGGGUAUAUUUUGAAGUGCUUUGAUAGGGUAGACACUAAUUUUUGUAAUAGGAUGUGAUCCUUUUCAAAAUUUGACUUUUGUUUCCAUAUGAUAUUUGGCAUUAUCCUUUCUAUUGUUUGCUAUAUUCUGUAGUUAUCAACAGCUUAACCUCCAGUAGGUGUUUGUAAUUUUUUUCUGCAUUUCUACUUCAUAAAGAGCCAUCAUUUUGCCAUGACUAUGGAAAAGAUAGAAAUGUUGAACUUUCUACCUAUACAAAUUUACAUUCAAAAGCACUAAGCAUAACUUAUGGGGAUAAUAUUAGUGUAUGAUCUCAUCUAUAAACCUCCAUACCCAGUUUAUUUGAACAUACUGAUGUUCACACAGCAGCAGUGUAUUGAGAACCUUUCUAGCUAGGACAAUGAGGGUGUAGCUGUGGCCUACUUCAGUAAAUUAAAUACAGCUUUGUUCUUGUAAUUCUCAUUGGGGAUGGACAUAACCUUCCUGAGGACCAAAGAGCAACCACUGUGGAGCAGAUCAGCAGCAGAGGCGAAUGACCAUAGCAGGUUGUUGACCAUAUUUGCUGUGGAUCUGUGUGGAACAACCAGUAUAUGUAUAUGGACAGGGAUGGUGUCCCUAGCCUCCCUUGCCAGAAGCUGGGAAUGAGUGACAGGGGACAGAUUAUUUGAUGAUUACCUGUUCAUCCCCUCUGGGGCAUCUGGCAUUGGCCACUGUCAGAAGACAGGAUACUGGGCUAGAUGGACCUUUGGUCUGACCCAGUAUGGCCAUUCUUAUGUACUAUAGCAUCCAUGUGCUCUGACAGAGCCAAUUUCCAGUAUGGUGCACAAUAAAAAAAGACAGGCAGAAAGAAUAUCUUUCUCCCAUCUCCAGCAAACUUUGGGUCUAAGCACUCACUCAGACUUCAAAGGGCUUCCUUACAUAAUGCCUGGACCGGUACUUGGUUUGGAAAUGAUGUCCUAAAUGGAAAUUAUCGGUCUACGUGGAAGUGAUUUUAAGGUCAGGCUUGACAAAGCCCUGGCUGGGAUUAUUUAGUUGGGGAUUGGUCCUGCUUUGAGCAGGGGGUUGGACUGGAUGACCUCCUGAGGUCCCUUCCAACCCUGAUAUUCUAUGAUGGGAGAGAGAUGCUUUUGCACUAUGAGCGGGGCUUGAGAUAAGUUCCCAGGUCCCAUUGCCUUUCUGACGUGCUUUUAAACGUUACACUUGUUCUUCCUCCAACAUGGCUGGGAUGGGUUCUGUUUGCUACUUCAAGGGAGAAGACGUUGAAUAGUUGUCAACUUUCCCUUUAUCCUUCUACCUCUCUGCAUGACUUAUACCAUUCCAAUGCCAUCAUCCUCUAUAGUCACAACCAGUAGAUGAAAGGUGACUUAGUUCAGAUCCUUGCAUUAGCAGUGACCCUGGAAGUGUGCUUCACAGCACAUUUAGCAAGAGCCAUGGCUAAAUACCAGCAACUCAUAAAACAUCUACCUCUGUGAUUGGAUGUGUAACAUAUGAACAUUAAACACUUCACACAAAAGGGAACAAAACUCUUCCCUACCCUGUUCACACACCCAAAUAUGACAGUAUAGCCACCUUGUUUGCAUUAAAUACCUGAAUUAGACUCCUAGAAUAUUACUUUACCAAUCCAGGAAUUCAAGCCCUUGUUGCAGAAUCUUGAAAGAAUUUACAAGACCAAACCCAUUCCAUCUCUGCAUGUUUAUCUUAACUUUUAUGACAGAGUUGGCGCUAUGCUAUAACGAAAACAAAGGAACAGUCAGCGGGACUUAUGUGAACAAUCAAGAGUUCAUAAGUACUAGGUUAGCCCUUGAAUACCAGUGAUGAAGAACUGACUGAGUGGGAGGGAAAGAGCUCUAUUUUAUUUUAAUGUGACUGGCUGGCUGAUGUAACUGGUAAUAGUUUUAUUGGAAAGUUAGCCUCUAUCAGAUCUUUCAUACAGCUGAAAGAUGAAGCAGCCAGCCAUUCAUCUCCAACAUCCACAGGGAGAGGAUGGCCUGUCACAUUUUUCCAUAUGAAUACAGCUUACCCAAACUGAACAAUCCACCUAUAAGAUGAUGUGCAACUAGAGCAUGGAUUAGUAGUAGUCUAUUGAAAAAAGCCUAGAAAAGUUUUUUCGACAAGUUAGCUAUAUCGUUCCUCCAGAAAGAUGUGCCAUUGCUGUUUUUAAUGGAAUGGUGGCAGGAAAGUCAAAAACUUAGUUACCAUAGCUAUAGUAGUCUAGGGCUUCAUCAGGUCCUAUCUGCAAUGUACGUGCUUUUUUCUGACCUUGGUUUCACCUCAUUACACUGACUUAUCUUACUUGAACAAGAAAUGUGAUGUCAAAAAAAGGCUUACAAAGUUACCUUGAACUUCAUUCCCCCUUUUUACAUGGUGCACUGCCUCCCAGUCCAUCUCAGAUUGAGGAAGAAGUGUUACCAGAAAUCAGAUGAAAACUGUUUUCAGGGAAACAUGCAUUUAUUGUUAAGCAUUCCCAGUGAAAAUCAACAUCUUUUAAAAUGUGUAUUUAUUUUAAAAAAUCAUUUGUGUACAAAAGUGUUGUGUAGUUUUUAUUCUCAAGACAAAAAACACCGAUGCUUCAUUCCAGCCCACUCACCCUUUACAGGAAAUUAAAUGCUCAGUAACAAACCUUCUCCAGUAUUCUUUAUUGUUAACUUUUAAAAAAAUCAAAAUUUGAGAUGGAAAAGGUAUCUCACAAGUGGGAUUCUUCAACAGUUGAAAUCAGCAUUCCUAUGAUAGCAGCAUCCUUCAGCACGAGCAGUUGUUGCAAAUUGUAAAACGGAUAAUACAGCACUUUCAUAGUACAUUUCCUCAUCUCAGAGUUAGGUAUUUCAACUUACGUUUUCAGUGAAUGGUUCAGCCUCAUAAGCAAUUGGCUAGCUAUUUUUUAUGCUGCCCACAAGCAGGUAACAUCACAGUACAGUGCAAAUUAUUUGCAACAAUUGGUCCAUGGGUAACAAAUCUGAAAAGUAAACUUGCUGAGGUUGCCUACAGAGCAUUAUAGUUGAAAUAACCAAAUGAGAAGCAACACAUACCUUGCAUGUCUAAUGAUGUAUCAGCUAAUGAAGCUGUAACGGUAAAAGUGGGAAGGUCAUAGUAUAUGUUUUUACUGAAAUAUGUUUAAUAUGGAUCAGCAGUCUAAUUGAAGACAAAUGAUAAACGCUUUUCUGUCACCAAAGCAACAUUUGGAAAAUUAGGCUAUUAACAGUGAAAACAUCUACAUGCUCUUCCCAGAAAAGCUUUACUUCAUGUUUUACUAUUGUGAUGUAGUAAAAAGCAUGGGAAAAUGAACAUUUUUAACUGUCCUCUGCUUAGCCAAUUGCUGUCACAUGUUCUACAAAACAAUCCAUGAUCACAUCCACUAAGAGUCUUUGGUUUCUCUACACAAACAUUUAGUUCUCAGCAAGCUGAGGUAUAAAUCUAUCCUGUACUAACAGUUCCUUACAGUACUUGGAGCUAUGCUGCUUUGAAACUGGAGUAGCUCAAAGCACAGUAAGGAACUGUUAGUACAGAAUAGGUUUAUACCCCAGCUUGCUGAGAACUAAGCACAGUAAGGAACUAUUAGUAC
This is a long non-coding RNA of Chelonia mydas (Green sea turtle), 4486 nucleotides long. RefSeq lists it as uncharacterized. The record is from RefSeq and is a predicted model, not a curated record. Lineage: Eukaryota; Metazoa; Chordata; Testudines; Cheloniidae. The transcript is spliced from 2 exons.